CCUACGGGGGGCAGCAGUGGGGAAUAUUGGACAAUGGGCGAAAGCCUGAUCCAGCCAUGCCGCGUGUGUGAAGAAGGCCUUCGGGUUGUAAAGCACUUUCAGUGGGGAAGAAAGCCUUGGGGCUAAUACCCUCGAGGAAGGACAUCACCCACAGAAGAAGCACCGGCUAACUCCGUGCCAGCAGCCGCGGUAAUACGGAGGGUGCGAGCGUUUAUCGGAAUUACUGGGCGUAAAGCGCGCGUAGGCGGUCUGAUAAGCCGGUUGUGAAAGCCCCGGGCUCAACCUGGGAACGGCAUCCGGAACUGUCAGGCUAGAGUGCAGGAGAGGAAGGUAGAAUUCCCGGUGUAGCGGUGAAAUGCGUAGAGAUCGGGAGGAAUACCAGUGGCGAAGGCGGCCUUCUGGACUGACACUGACGCUGAGGUGCGAAAGCGUGGGUAGCAAACAGGAUUAGAUACCCCAGUAGUC
RNAcentral lists this ribosomal RNA (465 nucleotides) under Vreelandella stevensii. Its description in RNAcentral is "partial 16S ribosomal RNA". It matches the Rfam family "Bacterial small subunit ribosomal RNA", at positions 338 to 795 of the family's 1533-position model. Lineage: Bacteria; Pseudomonadati; Pseudomonadota; Gammaproteobacteria; Oceanospirillales; Halomonadaceae. The record is from RNAcentral.